CCUACGGGUGGCAGCAGUGGGGAAUAUUGCACAAUGGGCGCAAGCCUGAUGCAGCCAUGCCACGUGUAUGAAGAGGGCCUUCGGGUUGUAAAGUACUUUCAGCGGGGAGGAAGGCGAUAAGGUUAAUAACCUUGUCGAUUGACGUUACCCGCAGAAGAAGCACCGGCUAACUCCGUGCCAGCAGCCGCGGUAAUACGGAGGGUGCAAGCGUUAAUCGGAAUUACUGGGCGUAAAGCGCACGCAGGCGGUCUGUCAAGUCGGAUGUGAAAUCUCCGGGCUCAACCUGGGAACUGCAUUCGAAACUGGCAGGCUAGAGUCUUGUAGAGGGGGGUAGAAUUCCAGGUGUAGCGGUGAAAUGCGUAGAGAUCUGGAGGAAUACCGGUGGCGAAGGCGGCCCCCUGGACAAAGACUGACGCUCAGGUGCGAAAGCGUGGGGGGCGAACAGGAUUAGAUACCCCGGGUAGUC
This 466-nucleotide ribosomal RNA is filed under the name uncultured bacterium. RNAcentral's name for it is "bacterial SSU rRNA". It matches the Rfam family "Bacterial small subunit ribosomal RNA", at positions 338 to 795 of the family's 1533-position model. The record is from RNAcentral.